CUGCCCUUCCAUCCCUUGGAUAGAAAGAGAGGGAGGGCAGAGCUUUUGGUUUUUUCAUGUUGUCAACGAGUUGAACAAUGGCUUUUCGUGUUGUCAAAGAUUUGAACAAUGAAAAUAGAUGGCGAGUGCCUGAUCGAAUUGAUCAGGUCAUGUAGGAACAAGGUUCAAGUCUACCGGUCUGUUAGGAUGCCUCAGCUGCAUACAUCACUGCACUUCCACUUAACACCUAUCGUAAUGAUAAACGGCUCGUCUCGCCGUGACCUUC
RNAcentral lists this ribosomal RNA (265 nucleotides) under Mazus pumilus (Japanese mazus). RNAcentral describes it as "4.5S ribosomal RNA". RNAcentral also lists the same sequence under 5 other names. Lineage: Eukaryota; Viridiplantae; Streptophyta; Magnoliopsida; Lamiales; Mazaceae. The record is from RNAcentral.